This 489-nucleotide ribosomal RNA is filed under the name uncultured bacterium. Its description in RNAcentral is "bacterial SSU rRNA". It matches the Rfam family "Bacterial small subunit ribosomal RNA", at positions 501 to 989 of the family's 1533-position model. The record is from RNAcentral.
CUACGUGCCAGCAGCCGCGGUAAUACGUAGGUGGCAAGCGUUGUCCGGAAUUAUUGGGCGUAAAGCGCGCGCAGGCGGAUUGGUCAGUCUGUCUUAAAAGUUCGGGGCUUAACCCCGUGAUGGGAUGGAAACUGCCAAUCUAGAGUAUCGGAGAGGAAAGUGGAAUUCCUAGUGUAGCGGUGAAAUGCGUAGAUAUUAGGAAGAACACCAGUGGCGAAGGCGACUUUCUGGACGAAAACUGACGCUGAGGCGCGAAAGCCAGGGGAGCGAACGGGAUUAGAUACCCCGGUAGUCCUGGCCGUAAACGAUGGGUACUAGGUGUAGGAGGUAUCGACCCCUUCUGUGCCGGAGUUAACGCAAUAAGUACCCCGCCUGGGGAGUACGACCGCAAGGUUGAAACUCAAAGGAAUUGACGGGGGCCCGCACAAGCGGCGGAGCAUGCGGAUUAAUUCGAUGCAACGCGAAGAACCUUACCAAGGCUUGACAUGC